GGUCUCGUAGUGUAUAGCGGUUAACACGCCUGCCUGUCACGCAGGAGAUCGCGGGUUCGAUUCCCGUCGAGACCGCCA
This 78-nucleotide transfer RNA is filed under the name Staphylococcus aureus. RNAcentral describes it as "tRNA-Asp(gtc)". It matches the Rfam family "tRNA". Rfam says of the family: Transfer RNA (tRNA) molecules are approximately 80 nucleotides in length. Their secondary structure includes four short double-helical elements and three loops (D, anti-codon, and T loops). The record is from RNAcentral. Lineage: Bacteria; Bacillati; Bacillota; Bacilli; Caryophanales; Staphylococcaceae.